Molecule: long non-coding RNA, 266 nt
Filed under: Elaeis guineensis (African oil palm)
Lineage: Eukaryota; Viridiplantae; Streptophyta; Magnoliopsida; Arecales; Arecaceae
Description: long non-coding RNA (EGUI_LNC050400)
Source: RNAcentral
GGGGCACCUAAAUCAGUCAUACUGAUUUUCUUAAAGACAUGGGUCAACUUGAAUCACUUAAUGAUCUAAUUAAUAUAAUUCACCUUGUUGGCUAGGUAAAUGAGAUCGGUGGGAGGGAUAUGCCAUUAACUCACCAUAGACUCAAUCUAGGUGAAUAGCUCUUAAUUAAUGACUACCGAUCAAGACUGCCAAACUUACCUUAGAUACUAACUGGUUAAUUAAUUUUGAUUUGAUCAGUCUAAUAACUCGGGCUCGACUACUGAGCC